AGAGUUUGAUCAUGGCUCAGAUUGAACGCUGGCGGCAGGCCUAACACAUGCAAGUCGAACGGUAACAGGAAGCAGCUUGCUGCUUCGCUGACGAGUGGCGGACGGGUGAGUAAUGUCUGGGAAACUGCCUGAUGGAGGGGGAUAACUACUGGAAACGGUGGCUAAUACCGCAUAACGUCGCAAGACCAAAGAGGGGGACCUUCGGGCCUCUUGCCAUCAGAUGUGCCCAGAUGGGAUUAGCUAGUUGGUGAGGUAACGGCUCACCAAGGCGACGAUCCCUAGCUGGUCUGAGAGGAUGACCAGCCACACUGGAACUGAGACACGGUCCAGACUCCUACGGGAGGCAGCAGUGGGGAAUAUUGCACAAUGGGCGCAAGCCUGAUGCAGCCAUGCCGCGUGUAUGAAGAAGGCCUUCGGGUUGUAAAGUACUUUCAGCGGGGAGGAAGGUGUUGUGGUUAAUAACCGCAGCAAUUGACGUUACCCGCAGAAGAAGCACCGGCUAACUCCGUGCCAGCAGCCGCGGUAAUACGGAGGGUGCAAGCGUUAAUCGGAAUUACUGGGCGUAAAGCGCACGCAGGCGGUCUGUCAAGUCGGAUGUGAAAUCCCCGGGCUCAACCUGGGAACUGCAUUCGAAACUGGCAGGCUUGAGUCUUGUAGAGGGGGGUAGAAUUCCAGGUGUAGCGGCGAAAGGCGUAGAGAUCUGGAGGAAAACCGGUGGCGAAGGCGGCCCCCUGCACAAAGACUGACGCUCAGGGGCGAAAGCGAGGGGGGUAAGCCGGAUUAGAUACCCUGGUAGUUCACGCCGUAAACGAUGUCUACUUGGAGGUUGU
RNAcentral lists this ribosomal RNA (830 nucleotides) under Salmonella enterica subsp. enterica serovar Typhimurium. RNAcentral describes it as "bacterial SSU rRNA". It matches the Rfam family "Bacterial small subunit ribosomal RNA", at positions 8 to 827 of the family's 1533-position model. The record is from RNAcentral. Lineage: Bacteria; Pseudomonadati; Pseudomonadota; Gammaproteobacteria; Enterobacterales; Enterobacteriaceae.